RNAcentral lists this ribosomal RNA (168 nucleotides) under Lactoria fornasini (thornback cowfish). Its description in RNAcentral is "partial 12S rRNA". Lineage: Eukaryota; Metazoa; Chordata; Actinopteri; Tetraodontiformes; Ostraciidae. The record is from RNAcentral.
CACCGCGGUUAUACGAGAGGCCCAAGUUGUUAGUCACCGGCGUAAAGCGUGGUUAGAAUAGACAUAACACUAAAGCCGAAAACUUUCAAGGCUGUUAUACGCACCCGAAAGUAAAAAGACCAAUAACGAAAGUAGCUUUAUUUAUUUGAACCCACGAAAGCUAUGGCA